CCUACGGGUGGCUGCAGUGGGGAAUAUUGCACAAUGGGGGAAACCCUGAUGCAGCGACGCCGCGUGAGUGAAGAAGUAUUUCGGUAUGUAAAGCUCUAUCAGCAGGGAAGAAAAUGACGGUACCUGAGUAAGAAGCCCCGGCUAACUACGUGCCAGCAGCCGCGGUAAUGCGUAGGGGGCAAGCGUUAUCCGGAUUUACUGGGUGUAACGGGUGCGCAGGCGGUGUGUUAAGUCAGCGGUCAAAGCCCGGGGCUCAACCCCGGCCCGCCGUUGAAACUGGCAGUCUCGCGUUGGAGAGCAGUCUGCGGAAUGCGCGGUGUAGCGGUGAAAUGCAUAGAUAUCGCGCAGAACUCCGAUUGCGAAGGCAGCAUGCCGGCUCCACACUGACGCUGAGGCACGAACGCGUGGGUAUCGAACAGGAUUAGAUACCCGGGUAGUC
Molecule: ribosomal RNA, 439 nt
Filed under: uncultured bacterium
Lineage: Bacteria
Description: partial 16S ribosomal RNA
Rfam family: Bacterial small subunit ribosomal RNA
Source: RNAcentral